AUUGAACGCUGGCGGCAGGCCUAACACAUGCAAGUCGAGCGCGAAAGUCUUCGGAUGAGUAAAGCGGCGGACGGGUGAGUAAUGCAUGGGAAUCUGCCUGGUAGUGGGGGACAACGUUUCGAAGGAGACGCUAAUACCGCAUACGCCCUACGGGGGAAAGGGGGGGAUCUUCGGACCUCUCGCUAUCAGAUGAGCCCAUGUCAGAUUAGCUAGUUGGUAGGGUAAAGGCCUACCAAGGCGACGAUCUGUAACUGGUCUGAGAGGAUGAUCAGUCACACUGGAACUGAGACACGGUCCAGACUCCUACGGGAGGCAGCAGUGGGGAAUAUUGGACAAUGGGGGAAACCCUGAUCCAGCCAUGCCGCGUGUGUGAAGAAGGCCCUAGGGUUGUAAAGCACUUUCAGUGGGGAGAAAGGUUAUUCACCUAAUACGUGAGUAAAUUGAUGCUACCCACAGAAGAAGCACCGGCUAACUCCGUGCCAGCAGCCGCCGUAA
This 495-nucleotide ribosomal RNA is filed under the name uncultured bacterium. RNAcentral describes it as "partial 16S ribosomal RNA". It matches the Rfam family "Bacterial small subunit ribosomal RNA", at positions 30 to 523 of the family's 1533-position model. The record is from RNAcentral.